This 253-nucleotide ribosomal RNA is filed under the name uncultured bacterium. RNAcentral's name for it is "partial 16S ribosomal RNA". It matches the Rfam family "Bacterial small subunit ribosomal RNA", at positions 524 to 776 of the family's 1533-position model. The record is from RNAcentral.
UACGGAGGGUGCAAGCGUUAUCCGGAUUCACUGGGUUUAAAGGGUGCGUAGGUGGGUUGGUAAGUCAGUGGUGAAAUCUCCAAGCUUAACUUGGAAACUGCCGUUGAUACUAUCAAUCUUGAAUCUCGUGGAGGUAAGCGGAAUAUGUCAUGUAGCGGUGAAAUGCUUAGAUAUGACAUAGAACACCCAUUGCGAAGGCAGCUCGCUACACUAUUAUUGACGCUGAGGCACGAAAGCGUGGGGAUCAAACAGG